UAAGGUGGUUAUUGCGGCGGGGCUCACCUCUUCCCAUUUCGAACAGAGAAGUUAAGCCCGCCAGCGUCGAUGGUACGAGUAGAUCGCCGCCUUUC
This 95-nucleotide ribosomal RNA is filed under the name Flavobacterium columnare. Lineage: Bacteria; Pseudomonadati; Bacteroidota; Flavobacteriia; Flavobacteriales; Flavobacteriaceae. The record is from RNAcentral.